UNGCUUAAAGUUUGAUCAUGGCUCAGGAUGAACGCUGGCGGGGUGUUUAACACAUGCAAGUCCAACGGAGUGCUCAUGACGGAGGAUUCGUCCAACGGAUUGAGUUACUUAGUGGCGGACGGGUGAGUAACGCGUGAGGAACCUGCCUCGGAGUGGGGAAUAACAGCCCGAAAGGGUUGCUAAUACCGCAUGAUGCAGUUGGGCCGCACGGCUCUGACUGCCAAAAAUUUAUCGCUCUGAGAUGGCCUCGCGUCUGAUUAGCUGGUUGGCGGGGUAACGGCCCACCAAGGCGACGAUCAGUAGCCGGACUGAGAGGUUGACCGGCCACAUUGGGACUGAGACACGGCCCAGACUCCUACGGGAGGCAGCAGUGGGAAUAUUGGGCAAUGGGCGCAAGCCUGACCCAGCAACGCCGCGUGAAGGAUGAAGGCUUUCGGGUUGUAAACUUCUUUUAUCAGGGACGAAACAAAUGACGGUACCUGAUGAAUAAGCCACGGCUAACUACGUGCCAGCAGCCGCGGUAAUACGUAGGUGGCAAGCGUUAUCCGGAUUUACUGAGUGUAAAGGGCGUGUAGGCGGGACUGCAAGUCAGAUGUGAAAACUAUGGGCUCAACCCAUAGCCUGCAUUUGAAACUGUAGUUCUUGAGUGCUGGAGAGGCCAAUCGGAAGUCCGUGUGUAGCGGUGAAAUGCAUAGAUAUACGGAGGAACACCAUUGGCGAAGGCCGAUUGCUGGACAGUAACUGACGCUGAGGCGCGAAAGCGUGGGGAGCAAACAGGAUUAAAUACCUGGUAGUCCACGCCGUAAAACUAUGGAUACUAAGUGUGCGGGCUGACCCCCUUCCUCGCCCCAGUAACACAAUAAGUAUC
RNAcentral lists this ribosomal RNA (868 nucleotides) under uncultured bacterium. Its description in RNAcentral is "bacterial SSU rRNA". It matches the Rfam family "Bacterial small subunit ribosomal RNA", at positions 1 to 868 of the family's 1533-position model. The record is from RNAcentral.